RNAcentral lists this ribosomal RNA (530 nucleotides) under Staphylococcus aureus. Its description in RNAcentral is "bacterial SSU rRNA". It matches the Rfam family "Bacterial small subunit ribosomal RNA", at positions 1 to 513 of the family's 1533-position model. Lineage: Bacteria; Bacillati; Bacillota; Bacilli; Caryophanales; Staphylococcaceae. The record is from RNAcentral.
UUUAUGGAGAGUUUGAUCCUGGCUCAGGAUGAACGCUGGCGGCGUGCCUAAUACAUGCAAGUCGAGCGAACGGACGAGAAGCUUGCUUCUCUGAUGUUAGCGGCGGACGGGUGAGUAACACGUGGAUAACCUACCUAUAAGACUGGGAUAACUUCGGGAAACCGGAGCUAAUACCGGAUAAUAUUUUGAACCGCAUGGUUCAAAAGUGAAAGACGGUCUUGCUGUCACUUAUAGAUGGAUCCGCGCUGCAUUAGCUAGUUGGUAAGGUAACGGCUUACCAAGGCAACGAUGCAUAGCCGACCUGAGAGGGUGAUCGGCCACACUGGAACUGAGACACGGUCCAGACUCCUACGGGAGGCAGCAGUAGGGAAUCUUCCGCAAUGGGCGAAAGCCUGACGGAGCAACGCCGCGUGAGUGAUGAAGGUCUUCGGAUCGUAAAACUCUGUUAUUAGGGAAGAACAUAUGUGUAAGUAACUGUGCACAUCUUGACGGUACCUAAUCAGAAAGCCACGGCUAACUACGUGCCAGCA